Catharus ustulatus (Swainson's thrush) is the source of this 579-nucleotide long non-coding RNA. RefSeq lists it as uncharacterized. The transcript has 3 exons. Lineage: Eukaryota; Metazoa; Chordata; Aves; Passeriformes; Turdidae. The record is from RefSeq and is a predicted model, not a curated record.
AGGCGAGAUGGGCACAAGAGCCGGGAUGAGCAAUCCAGGGAUUCCAGGGAGCUCAGAAUCGCAGCUGCUGCCAGAACCAUGGCCUUAGGGAGAAGAACACCAACUCAGAGCCAUUGAGACCUGACAGUCCCUUGCAGCGAGAGCUCAGCACACAUCCACAGAGUCCAGCAUCUGAAAGAAGAAAAAUAAACACAAGAAAUAGGUUCUUGUUCCAGAGAUGCUCUGACCCCAGAGCCAUACAGGGUCUGUAGCCUUGAUAAAUAGGAAUGAAAUUGGCCAAGUCUGUCAGGAAAGCAAAAACAUCCUGGGGUUUGCUUGGCCAAAGAUGGACCAUGAAUAUGUCUGUACUUCCAGUGGGUGUGAGUGCCGAUCCUUUUUGGUUUGUGGGGUGCCUCUGGCCCCUCAGAAGGAAGGGGGGAGGCUGCCACAGCUGCACCUGAGGGCAAUAUUGGCUCUUUCCAAACUGCUUGAUGCAGACCUGGAAGAACAGCUUUCCUCCUUUCUCUCCAUCCCUGGGCAGAACAUGAAGAUGAAGCUGCACUAAGCUCUCUGUUCUGUGGGCUUUUAUUUGGUUUGGGU